RNAcentral lists this long non-coding RNA (5647 nucleotides) under Gossypium barbadense (sea-island cotton). RNAcentral's name for it is "long non-coding RNA (GBAR_LNC020984)". The record is from RNAcentral. Lineage: Eukaryota; Viridiplantae; Streptophyta; Magnoliopsida; Malvales; Malvaceae.
UCUUCUUCUUUCUUUAUUUUGCCGAAACACCAUUGUUGGAAGACUUGGGAGCUUCGGUUUGUGCUAUUCUUGGAUGCAUGUAAGUGUGUUUUAGUUUAUUUUUUCAUGAUUUGUAUAUUUUUGAGUUAGUUGAAAUGGUAUUUAUCUGGUAUAGGGAUUAAUUUAUGAAAUUGAUGAAGUUUAGAAAAAUGUCCAUUGAUGUUUUUGAUGUUUAUUGAUGUCUAUGUUUUGGGUUGAAGUUAAAUGAUGAAUUUUAGCUAUUUUGUAAAGUAAGUUUCAGUGAUUUUUAAGAUUAGGGUUUAAAUAAAUAAAAUGUUAAAAUUAUUAGGCUUUCUUGAGAGUAGGAGCUGGUUUGGAGUGGUUAAAAUUUGGUUUUAUGGGAAAAAGGUUAAUUUUAUAAAUAAUCAUGUUUUGGUCUUUGGAACCAAAUUGAGUAAAAUGUAAAGUUUGGGGAUAAUAUGUAAAUAAUGUAAAUAAGAAAUUAGAUGUAUUAAGUUGAAUAGGAUGUGAAAUUUAAGCUAAUAAUUGAAAUAAAUUAUAUUACAGAUCAAGAUCAAGUUGAUAAUCGAGGAAAAGGGAAGGUUAUUCAUUAAUCCUUGGACUUUUGUUGUUUUUGCAGUUUGACCCUGGUAAGUUCGUACGGUUUUAUUUUAGUAUAAUUUAAACAUUUAAUUAUUUACUAAUUGGAAUUGCUAAAUGAUUUAAAAAUGAUGAAUAGUAGUAAGUGGGUUGAUUUGAGAUAGAAAUCAUAUUGAAUGUUCUUACGAAUUAAAUAAGUGAACCGAUGAACAUAGGAUAGGAUACGAUUGGCAUGCCAAUAGGUUAUAUCGUGCUCUGUAUGAGAUUGAUUGAUGUUGAAAUAAUGAUUUUGUUUAAUUAUUGUUUAUUGAAUAAACCAAAGUUCAACAUUUGUUGCGAACUAUCGCGUUAUAUUAUAGUGAUUUAGGUGUGUCUUGGGGGCGGAUGUAAAGCAUUCGGGCUUGGCACUCAGUACUGAGGUGUGUUUUAGAGGGAUGUUAGCCUACGGGUUCGACACUUAGUGCCCAAGUGUGUUUUCGGAUGGUUAGCUCAUUGAGCAUUUUAGUGUGUUUGAAUGGUUAACUGUGCAUACAGGUCUGUCAUAACGUUCACCAGGUUUAUUUUUAAUGGAUAAUGUAAUUGAUUGGAUUGUUCCAUUUGUAAUUAAGUUUAAAACUCACCCAUGAUUUGGUUAUGGAUGACAGGAUUAUGAUUUAUGACUUUUAUGUAUUAUGUUAUAGAUAAGUUUAUUCAGUAAGUUAAUUGUUUUUAAUCUGUAAAACUUACUAAGCUUAAGUAAACUUACUUGUGACUUCUCUAUUGUUUUCCUGUAAAUAUGUCUUUUGAAGAAAGGGGCGAUUAGAUCAACUAAAAGAAUCACAUUAUCCGAAAAAUCUUUGGUAGUUUUUGAAUAUUCAUUUUGGUAAUAUAGCAUGUAAUAGGUGAAAUGUUGUUAUGUUGGAUAAUAAUUACUUGUGGUAGUUGCCAUAUUUGAAUGUUGUUGGUAUUGCAUAGAUUUUGACAUUUAUGUAUAUAUGGCUUUGAUGUUUGGCUUAUACUGAUUAGUAGGUAAAUAUAUAUAUAUUUAGUUAUUUGGUUGUGUGCUACUUUUGGAUGGUUGAUUUAUGGUUCAAGUAAGCUUGAAUGGUACAUUUGAAUGAGGAAAUUGUAUGUGAUCUUAGUAAGAAUUUUAGGCUUAUAUGAUAUUAAUUUGAUUAUUGAAUCGUGGUGUCAAUGAGGGUACAUUUUUUAGAAUUUUUUUAUGACUGAAUACGCAUAAAAAUGCCUUUUGGGGUGAUAGGAAAAUUUGGUAUAAAAUGAACUUUUAAAGACAAGUUUUUAUCAUUUUCAACUUAGGUAUCGAUACUUUGGCAAUUAGUAUCGAUACUUGACCAUAUGAACAAUUUUAAAACAAGUAGAAUACCAAAUGGUAUCGAUUUUUGAGUAUCGAUACUUUUUCAUAAAAUAUCGAUACCCUAAAAUAAGUAUUGAUACCAUUUUUUUACAAAGAAAACAAUAUACAAUUUUGGUAUCGAUUUUCAGAAAGGUAUCGUUUCAAUAUCGAUACCAACUAUGGAUUUUCAAUAUUUUCAUUAAAAAUUUUGUAAAUCUAUCUUAUUCUAUGCUUGGAUUUUACAAUUAGAUACUUUUAGAGUUUAAAAUUUUAAUAUGUUUGAUUAUAUAGAAUAUCAAUUAUCAAUAAGUAAGUAUUGUUUAGUAAGUAGUUAUCAAUUGUUGACUAUUAUUGUAGCAUCUCUUUACUCGGGUCCAGUGACCGAGCCAGGUAAGAGGUGUUACACAACAACUCGACAACGUUUGAAACAGAGGCAAAACAGAGGCGAUGGCGUGACGAAGAGCCUAGGACAUCACGACGACGUGACGAAUUUCAAACUUAAAGUAGUUACGUAAUAGACUCUCAGCAUGUAACACACCAAAAUAUAUAGGGUUAGAAGUAAUAAUUAACCAAAAAAUGAGUUUUAGUCUUAAUGGUUAAGAACUUAGUGUAUUCCUUAAAGAUUUAAGGUCCAAUUCACUCCUCUCUCAUUUCUUUGUUUUAAUUUUUCAGCAAACUAGAAUGAAAACCCCCCUAAAAUAUAUAUUAAAUGGAAUAAAACAUAUUAAGAGUGGAUAGCAAGCUAAAUGGCUAAGCCCUUUCAUUCAUUCCCUUAUUUCUUGGGUUCAAAUCACACCAAACUCAUCCCUCAUUUUUAUUUUUUUAUUUUCGACAAAAGGGUAUUUUUCCAUUCAGUAUUUCAAAUUUUGAAAUCCCUAGGUAUUUAAUCUCUUAUCCAAAUCAAAAUAGAACUCUAGUUUUGUUUUUCCAAUUGAACUAAAAUUUUACUUUCUUUUUCCCAAAUUCUUUCCCCUUUUUUUUCUUCUCCUUUGCAAAUAAUUUUCUUUCAUUCCUGAAAAUUUUAUUUUAAUCUUGAACUCGAAAUCGAUCUCCAUUCAAUUGUUCUUCUUAUCAAUUUAGUGUAACGCCGUAAAAUCUCGUCUCUAACGUUUCUAAGAAUCGACAAGAACAUUUCAAUUCUGACAUUUUGAUCUCAAAAUAUCUGUAGAAUUUCUGUUCACGUUAAUUUCAAAACGAUUAAACAAUCUUUUACGAAUCUUGUUGAUAUCUCCUGAAAUCUCGACUUUUCUUGAAAACCAUUAUUAAUUCUUGCGUAUUUGUUUGUUGAAAGACUCUUUGCAAGUAUCCUGAAUCAGAUUUGGACAUGAGGAUCAUCAUUCGAGACCCCGAUGACAGUGUAUGUUCUUUUACGAGUAAAUCAGGGUAAAAUCGAGUCUAGAAUAAGGCCACAUAGCUAACCACACGAGCGUGUGGGCCACACAACCCUCUCACAUGACCAUGUCCACCCUGAAACCCUAGGAGUUCGAAUUGCGCAUGGCCUAAACCUCUCUACACGGCCUAGCCACACUGUCGUGUCUCCCCUGUAGGUUGAUUUUACGAAUGCCAUACAGCCACAAUCUGUCAUACGGUCAUGUACACCAUCCACACGGUCCAGGGCUUCCUACACGGUCCAGUCGCACGGCCGUGUGUCCCUUAUAACUCAAAAUUUAUAGUUUUGACCCAUAAUCUUUAAGAUUUGUGUAGUUUAGUCCCUGGUUUCGGAACUGUUUUAAUGUUUAAUUUUGUGCAAUUAAGUCCUUGAUAAUAUAAAACUUGAUAAAAAAACAUGCCUUACUUGAUAAAAUUGAUAUCAUAUUUAAAUGUCAUUGCAUGAAUUAUGAAUAAUAUAUAUGACUAUUGUAUAUAUACACUUGCAAUCGUAUGAACGACAUGCCUUAUGUUAUUGUUAAUCUGAAUACAUGGAAAACAUGAUUUUUGCUACUGAUUUUCCUUAUGUUAGUACAUUAAUUGCUAUCAUAUGUGAUAUGUAUAAAUAUGUUGCAUUGCAUUGCAUGGGAUGGGACUAUGUCAUCGGAUGAAGUCUAGUAGUUUAUUUGCAUUUAUCUAUUUCGUUAUGUAUCCACGGCCAAAGGCAGAUUCCAUCUGUGGGGACUGCUGUGUAUCCAAAGCCAAAGGCAGAUUCCAACUGCGAGUUAUAUUGCAAAAUCUACAGCCAAAAGCAGGUGAUUUUGUUAGAUACCGUUAUACGGUGUUGUUGUGUACAAAUUGUGAUGUACGAAGAUCUGGGCUUGCGGAGGGGGCACUACAGUGUUCGAACAUUAAGGUUAGAAAUGGCAAACUGGAAGAAUGGGCGGAGAAAUAGGAAAAUUAGAAUUUCGUUAAGAUACCGCCAUAUGGUGUUGCUGAGUGCAAACACAAUGUGAAAUGAGAAUUAGGUCAUUCGAGAUGACACCGUGACGACGGUUAUUAGGUUCCAUAGAGCAACAUCGUGAUAGUGAUCAACAGGCUCUAUGGGGCGACACUGCAAUAAUGAUAAGGUCCUAUGGGGCGACACCUCUAAAGAGGUCUAACAUGUAAGACCAUAGCUCGGCUAUGGAAACCAGUAUAGUCCGUUGGGAUAGUAAACACGGGGAAGUCCAUCGGGACAAUAAACACAGGGAUGUCCGCUAGGACACCAAAUAUGGGAUUUCAAGUGUAAGAUCGUAGCUCGACCAUGGCAUCAUGUACGAGCUGCCUAAAAGGGAUGAAUUCAAAAUCUAACAGGACAAGUUAAUAGAGAUUGAGGUACAACUUGGCCGGAAGAGAGCAUGUAAAAUGGGGCAAAACAAAGAUUCCCCAACACGUAAGAAUAAGGUGAAACAGGUAGAAAAGACUGAGGUGGUAGAUAAACCUCUUAAAGAGGAUUUGAGGGUCAAGUUAUAGGGAACACGCAAGUACAAGUUUCUAGAUAUUUGGAAAAUAACCUAGAAGCGGGGGAUGAAUAAAUGAUUGAGUAGAACCUAAGGGUCCGCAGAUAAAGGUCAGCCAGAGGGGUUAAGUCCACCGAAGCCCACACGGAGGUUAAGUCACUCAGGUUAAUAGAAGAAGGAAGUCGCCAAUGACUAACCUAGGAUGGGUAGUUCGUCCAUAAACAUUGGAGGUUAAGAACCUGAAACUUUAGGAAGUAAAUCGAAGACACCGAAGACACCAAUGACAGGCAUUGGAAUUCACAUCCAAGGUCGUGAGGAAAACGAGAAAGUUGGGUUGAUUAGGAAUCCAACAUGUACCACUGGAAGACUACUACAAUAAAGGAAUACGUGUAUUUCUCAAACAGAGAAUGAUUCUGCAGCAGUAACCAGCGGGGAAAAGGGGGAGGCAUUGAUUUCAUAGGUGAAAUCUACGGAAGACUAAUAGUAUACGGGGAGUUUAAAUUCUCUGCUUUAAAUCUUUGUCCUUUAGAAAUUUGAAAUAUAAUUGCUACCCUAUUUUAUCGAAUAAGUUCAUUGGAACUUAUGAUUAUAUUGUUUUGGCUGCAAGGUUAAUGAUUAAAUUAGAGGCUAUGGAAGAGGAUCGAGCCUGACUCCGCCAAUUGAGGAAAAAUAGAGUGGUAGCCGUAACUUGCAUAAGAGGGGCACUCCUAGAGGCUACGCCUCGAAGGUUUAGUUGGAUCAUGAAAUUUUAAAGUUUUAAAUUCAAAAUUUUAAAUAAGGUUGUAAAGAAAUAAAUUUAAAAGACGUAUAUAGUGGUAUGGUUUAAUGUGUAUAUUAAACAAUCGAGAAUAAAAUAAGAUUUGAU